GGUGAGGUUUUCCUUCUAGUCAUUUUGCUCAGUGCAGAGUGGCCAAAAGCAAGUUGUAUUGGGAAAAAGAGAAAAAGAGAGGAGAGAAAGAAGGAAAGAAAAGAGAAAGGAAAAAAAAGGGAAGAAAAAAACGAAAAGAAAAAAAAAGAGAGAAGAAAAAGAGAAAGAAAAAGAAAGGAGAAAAAAAAGGGGGUGGGGGAAGGAAACAAAUCAAAAAGCAAAACAAAACAAAACAAAACCAAACAACAACAACAACAACAAAAAAAAAAAACAAACAAAAAAAGAACCACCGGGGAGUAUCUUCUGAUUCUGUGUACUUUGAGUCCCUUGGCUUCUCCUGGAAGUUGUCCGUCUAGCUGGUCUUCUGGGGGAGGGGCCUGUUGUGCUGAUUUUCAGGUGUUAGCAGUUGGGGGAGCCGCUGUGCCCCUGCCUGGUGCAGGGCUCAGUGGGGGUUGUUUACCCCGUGAGGCCGCAGGAGGAACAGCCCCAGUGGCGGGGCAGCUCUGGAAACCUGGAUUCAGCUCCGGCAGGAACUCCGUCUGCAGGGCCUGGAGGCUCCGGGGCGGGGCCGCUGAUCUGCUCAGCUCGGGGCAGGCGCUUCCUUGCUGUCCUGGGCCCUCCCGGCCUCUGCCUGUCCCGGGGGAGGCGGGAUCCUGGGCUGUGUCCCGGCGCCCUGUGCUCCGGAGCCUGCGCUGUUGGAUUCGCGCUCCCGGGCCGCGCAGCCCCCUCCGCGGAGCCGCCGCCCGAGCCCCUCCGAGCUGCUCCUGGAACCGCGCAGGCCCCUCUGCACGGAGCCUCUUCCUCUGCCCGAGCCCGGCCGAGCUGCUCCCGGGGCCGCGCAGCCCCCUCCGCGGAGCCGCCGCCCGAGCCCCUCCGAGCUGCUCCUGGAACCGCGCAGCCCCCUCCGCACGGAGCCUCUUCCUCUGCCCGAGCCCCUCCGAGCUGCUCCCGGGGCCGUACAGCCCCCUCCGCGGAGCCGCCCCCGAGCCCCUCCGAGCUGCUCCCGCCCUGCAGCCCCCUCCGCGGAGCCGCCCCCCCCCCCGCCCCCCCCCCCCCGCCCCCCCCCCGAGCUGCUCCGGGUCCCGCCGUGCCCGCUGCAGCCCUUAG
Molecule: long non-coding RNA, 1107 nt
Filed under: Canis lupus dingo (dingo)
Lineage: Eukaryota; Metazoa; Chordata; Mammalia; Carnivora; Canidae
Description: lncRNA (ENSCAFG00020010624.1)
Rfam family: mir-8799 microRNA precursor family (bases 638-728)
Source: RNAcentral